GAUGAACGCUAGCGGCAGGCCUAAUACAUGCAAGUCGAACGAGAUUUUAUCUUUCGGGAUAAAUGACAGUGGCGCACGGGUGCGUAACGCGUAUGCAACCUACCCUUAACAGGGGGAUAGCCCGGAGAAAUUCGGAUUAAUACCCCAUAGUAUCUUAAGACAGCAUUGUUUAAAGAUUAAAGAUUUAUCGGUUAAGGAUGGGCAUGCGUGACAUUAGCUAGUUGGUGAGGUAACGGCUCACCAAGGCUACGAUGUCUAGGGGUUCUGAGAGGAUGAUCCCCCACACUGGUACUGAGAUACGGACCAG
Molecule: ribosomal RNA, 307 nt
Filed under: uncultured bacterium
Lineage: Bacteria
Description: bacterial SSU rRNA
Rfam family: Bacterial small subunit ribosomal RNA
Source: RNAcentral